RNAcentral lists this ribosomal RNA (322 nucleotides) under uncultured eukaryote. RNAcentral describes it as "partial 18S ribosomal RNA". It matches the Rfam family "Eukaryotic small subunit ribosomal RNA", at positions 1470 to 1796 of the family's 1831-position model. The record is from RNAcentral.
CCCUUAGAUGUUCUGGGCCGCACGCGCGCUACACUGAUGCGUUCAACAAGUUUCCUUGGCCGAGAGGCCUGGGCAAUCUUCUUAAUAUGUAUCGUGAUAGGGAUAGAUUAUUGCAAUUAUUAAUCUUGAACGAGGAAUUCCUAGUAAACGCAGAUCAUCAAUCUGCAUUGAUUACGUCCCUGCCCUUUGUACACACCGCCCGUCGCACCUACCGAUUGGAUGUUCCGGUGAAGCCUCGGGAUGAGGACUGGUGCCUUUAUUGGCAUGAGCUGUUCAGAACUUGUCUAAACCUUAUCAUCUAGAGGAAGGUGAAGUCGUAACA